RNAcentral lists this ribosomal RNA (617 nucleotides) under uncultured bacterium. RNAcentral describes it as "bacterial SSU rRNA". It matches the Rfam family "Bacterial small subunit ribosomal RNA", at positions 338 to 1414 of the family's 1533-position model. The record is from RNAcentral.
CCUACGGGAGGCAGCAGUGAGGAAUAUUGGACAAUGGGCGCAAGCCUGAUCCAGCCAUGCCGCGUGCAGGAUGACGGUCCUAUGGAUUGUAAACUGCUUUUGUACAGGAAGAAACCCUUUCACGUGUGAAAGAUUGACGGUACUGUAAGAAUAAGGAUCGGCUAACUCCGUGCCAGCAGCCGCGGUAAUACGGAGGAUCCAAGCGUUAUCCGGAAUCAUUGGGUUUAAAGGGUCCGUAGGCGGUCAGAUAAGUCAGUGGUGAAAGCCCAUCGCUCAACGGUGGAACGGCCAUUGAUACUGUCUGACUUGAAUUAUUAGGAAGUAACUAGAAUAUGUAGUGUAGCGGUGAAAUGCUUAGAGAUUACAUGGAAUACCAAUUGCGAAGGCAGGUUACUACUAAUGGAUUGACGCUGAUGGACGAAAGCGUGGGUAGCGAACAGGAUUAGAUACCCUGGUAGUCCACGCCGUAAACGAUGGAUACUAGCUGUUGGGAGCAAUCUCAGUGGCUAAGCGAAAGUGAUAAGUAUCCCACCUGGGGAGUACGUUCGCAAGAAGAGAAGUACAAGAAGUAGUAGACGNGAGAGACGACGACGACGGACGACGACGGAGGGAGGAGG